This 71-nucleotide microRNA precursor is filed under the name Paramuricea clavata. The record is from RNAcentral. Lineage: Eukaryota; Metazoa; Cnidaria; Anthozoa; Malacalcyonacea; Plexauridae.
UUUGUAUUACGUGCGGAAAUUGUUAUCAUUUUUGAGUCGAAAAUGGUAACAAUUUCCGCAAGUAAUACAAA